This 254-nucleotide ribosomal RNA is filed under the name uncultured bacterium. Its description in RNAcentral is "partial 16S ribosomal RNA". It matches the Rfam family "Bacterial small subunit ribosomal RNA", at positions 524 to 777 of the family's 1533-position model. The record is from RNAcentral.
UACGAAGGGAGCUAGCGUUGUUCGGAAUCACUGGGCGUAAAGCGCACGUAGGCGGCUUUCUAAGUCGGGGGUGAAAUCCUGGAGCUCAACUCCAGAACUGCCUUCGAUACUGGAGAGCUCGAGUCCGGGAGAGGUGAGUGGAACUGCGAGUGUAGAGGUGAAAUUCGUAGAUAUUCGCAAGAACACCAGUGGCGAAGGCGGCUCACUGGCCCGGUACUGACGCUGAGGUGCGAAAGCGUGGGGAGCAAACAGGG